AGUUCUGUUGAAAGAUUUCUUUAAUUAAAAAAAAAAAUCUGUCCUUAUCAGUUUAAUAUCUGAUAUGCUCUCCAUCUGAGGACUACGUAUUAAACGGAUUUUUGGACCUGGGAGCUGAAAGAGGGGCUUGCUCCUUUCACUCCACRCAUCGACYCGGCAUUGCAGUGCCGCCGGGAACGGUGCACCUUUC
Molecule: small nuclear RNA, 190 nt
Filed under: Acanthochromis polyacanthus (spiny chromis)
Lineage: Eukaryota; Metazoa; Chordata; Actinopteri; Pomacentridae
Description: U2 spliceosomal RNA (ENSAPOG00000009830.1)
Rfam family: U2 spliceosomal RNA
About the family: U2 is a small nuclear RNA (snRNA) component of the spliceosome (involved in pre-mRNA splicing). Complementary binding between U2 snRNA (in an area lying towards the 5' end but 3' to hairpin I) and the branchpoint sequence (BPS) of the intron results the bulging out of an unpaired adenosine, on the BPS, which initiates a nucleophilic attack at the intronic 5' splice site, thus starting the first of two transesterification reactions that mediate splicing.
Source: Rfam by way of RNAcentral